Molecule: long non-coding RNA, 561 nt
Organism: Patiria miniata (bat star)
Lineage: Eukaryota; Metazoa; Echinodermata; Asteroidea; Valvatida; Asterinidae
Exons: 4
Source: RefSeq, a predicted model, not a curated record
AUCUGGGCACACUAAUAGAAUAAUGUAAUGGCGAGAAUUAUUAUCGUCAUUCGUGGUAACAAAAUUUGCACGGGUAAUGAAACAAUAUACAUGUAUGAUGUAGUCUCACAGAAGGCACUAACAGUUGGUCAUGACCUAGGCUAGAGGUCAAGUUUGGUAUGCAUAUUGCCAAGUCAGCAAGAGUACUCAAAUGCAACGUAUUCUGUGCAUGCAGUACGACGGUUGUAGUUUGAACCAGUUCUGGAAGCUCCCACACAGGUGGGUGUGUCUUAUCCCUUGCAGAUGAAGGAAGCUAUUGACUUUUAAAUAAGGGUCCUCUGUAGACGCUCGAUGUAAUUGCAUACAUGAACGUUCAGCAGAACACCAAGUUUGAACGUGGCGAGGGUACGAAGACGAGGAGAGUGCUAACUAUUCAUGAGAAUGCUGCUGAACCAGACAGAGUAUCUGCAUCAAAACUACAGUUUACAUUACAUGUGGAGACACCAUCAAGAAAGUCUCAAACUACAACACGUACAAUGAUGCGCUUCUUCUCCAGCUUGGGGAACUAUGCCUUUGAUUUGG